This 76-nucleotide ribosomal RNA is filed under the name Pseudoselenomonas ruminantium. Its description in RNAcentral is "Selenomonas ruminantium (feces metagenome) partial 16S ribosomal RNA". It matches the Rfam family "Bacterial small subunit ribosomal RNA", at positions 1 to 75 of the family's 1533-position model. The record is from RNAcentral. Lineage: Bacteria; Bacillati; Bacillota; Negativicutes; Selenomonadales; Selenomonadaceae.
UUUUAUGGAGAGUUUGAUCCUGGCUCAGGACGAACGCUGGCGGCGUGCUUAACACAUGCAAGUCGAACGAGACGAU